This 862-nucleotide ribosomal RNA is filed under the name uncultured bacterium. Its description in RNAcentral is "bacterial SSU rRNA". It matches the Rfam family "Bacterial small subunit ribosomal RNA", at positions 18 to 893 of the family's 1533-position model. The record is from RNAcentral.
CCUGGCUCAGGACGAACGCUGGCGGCGCGCCUAACACAUGCAAGUCGAACGAGCGAGAGAGAGCUUGCUUUCUCGAGCGAGUGGCGAACGGGUGAGUAACGCGUGAGGAACCUGCCUCAAAGAGAGGGACAACAGUUGGAAACGACUGCUAAUACCGCAUAAGCCCACGACCCGGCAUCGGGUAGAGGGAAAAGGAGCAAUCCGCUUUGAGAUGGCCUCGCGUCCGAUUAGCUAGUUGGUGAGGUAAUGGCCCACCAAGGCGACGAUCGGUAGCCGGACUGAGAGGUUGAACGGCCACAUUGGGACUGAGACACGGCCCAGACUCCUACGGGAGGCAGCAGUGGGGAAUAUUGCACAAUGGGGGAAACCCUGAUGCAGCGACGCCGCGUGGAGGAAGAAGGUCUUCGGAUUGUAAACUCCUGUUGUUGAGGAAGAUAAUGACGGUACUCAACAAGGAAGUGACGGCUAACUACGUGCCAGCAGCCGCGGUAAAACGUAGGUCACAAGCGUUGUCCGGAAUUACUGGGUGUAAAGGGAGCGCAGGCGGGAAGGCAAGUUGGAAGUGAAAUCCAUGGGCUCAACCCAUGAACUGCUUUCAAAACUGUUUUUCUUGAGUAGUGCAGAGGUAGGCGGAAUUCCCGGUGUAGCGGUGGAAUGCGUAGAUAUCGGGAGGAACACCAGUGGCGAAGGCGGCCUACUGGGCACCAACUGACGCUGAGGCUCGAAAGUGUGGGUAGCAAACAGGAUUAGAUACCCUGGUAGUCCACACUGUAAACGAUGAUUACUAGGUGUUGGAGGAUUGACCCCUUCAGUGCCGCAGUUAACACAAUAAGUAAUCCACCUGGGGAGUACGACCGCAAGG